UACGUAGGGGGCAAGCGUUGUCCGGAUUUAUUGGGCGUAAAGAGCGUGUAGGCGGUUAGGUAGGUCCGUUGUGAAAACUCGAGGCUCAACCUCGAGACGCCGAUGGAAACCAUCUGACUAGAGUCCGGAAGAGGAGAGUGGAAUUCCUGGUGUAGCGGUGAAAUGCGUAGAUAUCAGGAGGAAUACCGAUGGCGAAGGCAGGUCUCUGGGCUGACACUGACGCUCAUGCACGAAAGCGUGGGGAGCAAACAGG
RNAcentral lists this ribosomal RNA (253 nucleotides) under uncultured bacterium. RNAcentral's name for it is "partial 16S ribosomal RNA". It matches the Rfam family "Bacterial small subunit ribosomal RNA", at positions 524 to 776 of the family's 1533-position model. The record is from RNAcentral.